RNAcentral lists this ribosomal RNA (253 nucleotides) under uncultured bacterium. RNAcentral describes it as "partial 16S ribosomal RNA". It matches the Rfam family "Bacterial small subunit ribosomal RNA", at positions 524 to 776 of the family's 1533-position model. The record is from RNAcentral.
UACAGAGGUCCCAAGCGUUGUUCGGAUUCAUUGGGCGUAAAGGGUGCGUAGGCGGCGCGGUAAGUCGGGUGUGAAAUCUCGGGGCUUAACUCCGAAACUGCAUUCGAUACUGCCGUGCUUGAGGACUGGAGAGGAGACUGGAAUUUACGGUGUAGCGGUGAAAUGCGUAGAUAUCGUAAGGAAGACCAGUGGCGAAGGCGGGUCUCUGGACAGGUCCUGACGCUGAGGCACGAAGGCCAGGGGAGCAAACGGG